Molecule: long non-coding RNA, 852 nt
Organism: Lepus europaeus (European hare)
Lineage: Eukaryota; Metazoa; Chordata; Mammalia; Lagomorpha; Leporidae
Exons: 3
Source: RefSeq, a predicted model, not a curated record
ACCGGAGGUUACCACAGCCGCGGGGACCCGGGACCCUCCCCCCGCCCUCCCCCACCACGUCGCCGCUCUGCCUUCAGUCGGGAAUCAAUGGUCUGGUCGCAGAUUGGUGACAUCAUUGGCGCGCCGGGCGUGGGAGGGAGUGCCACGUGACUGCCCCCUCUUUUGUUUGCGCUCUAGGAACGCUAGGGUGUUUUGGUGCGGUCUUCCCCGUUUUCUUUUAUUUAUUUAUUCUUUGGAUCUGUUAAUGGCGUUGUUAUGCGCAGGGUGCGGAGUGUGUCCUUGCGGCUUAGGAUGCUGCGUUUUUUGAUCGUGGCCUCGAUUCCUUCUCCUUUACAACGUGGUUGGGCCGGAAGGCCUGAGAAGUUAUGUAGGCCCACUCUGUUCUAAAAAAAAAAACAAAAAAAAACCCACUUAGGAGCGGCGCUGUGGCGUAGCGGGUAAAGCCGCCGCCUGCAGUGCCGGCAUCUUGUAUUGGCGCCGGUUCGAGUCCUGGCUGCUCUACUUCCGAUCCAGCUCUGCUAUGGCCUGGGAAAGCAGAAGAUGACCCAAGUGCUUGGACCGCUGCACCUGUGUGGGAGACCGGGAAGAAGCUCUUGGCUCCUGGCUUCGGAUCGGCACAGCUGUUGCCGUGGCAGCCAUCUGAGGAGUGAACCAGUGGUUGUACCAGUUUACACUGCUACCAUCAUCCACAUCUCUAACACUUCACGUUUCUUGGUUUGUGAAAUGAUGCCUCACUGAGCUCCUGGUUCUGGCUUCCUGCUAAUGCACAUCCUGGGAGGCAGUGGUGAUGUUUCAAGAUAUAGGAUUCCUAGGCCGGCGCCGUGGCUCAACAGGCUAAUCCUCCGCCUAGUG